AAACCCAGAAGGAAGUGUAGAAAAUGAUAAUGACAAGGGAAAAGUUAGAGGAGUUGACUUCUCUGGUCCUGUUCCAAAAGUAUAUUACCAGCAACAUACUAGGGUUCAAGAAUCCCUAGAACCCGAAAAUCUCUAUGAUCCAGGUAGCCCUACAGCCUCGGACAUGGAACCUCCCCCCACCAUACCUCGUCAAAAGAUUAGAACUAACCCAGGAUUAGAGGUCAUCAAAUCUAAUAAUGAGUAUACUCCAAACCUCAAAGCUCUUGAGGUCCUCUGGUAUCUU
RNAcentral lists this long non-coding RNA (283 nucleotides) under Capsicum annuum. RNAcentral describes it as "long non-coding RNA (CANN_LNC015644)". Lineage: Eukaryota; Viridiplantae; Streptophyta; Magnoliopsida; Solanales; Solanaceae. The record is from RNAcentral.